Molecule: ribosomal RNA, 273 nt
Filed under: uncultured bacterium
Lineage: Bacteria
Description: partial 16S ribosomal RNA
Rfam family: Bacterial small subunit ribosomal RNA
Source: RNAcentral
CUACGUAUGUCGCAAGCGUUAUCCGGAAUUAUUGGGCGUAAAGCGAGUCUAGGCGGCUUGUUAAGUCAGAUGUGAAAAUGCGGGGCUCAACUCCGUAUUGCGUUUGAAACUGGCAGGCUAGAGUACUGGAGAGGUGGGCGGAACUACAAGUGUAGAGGUGAAAUUCGUAGAUAUUUGUAGGAAUGCCGAUAGUGAAGACAGCUCACUGGACAGAUACUGACGCUAAAGCUCGAAAGCGUGGGGAGCGAACAGGAUUAGAAACCCCUGUAGUCC